AUAAGAUAUCAAGGGCAACAGGUGAAUGCCUUGGCGCUGAGAGGCGAUGAAAGACGCGGUAAGCUGCGAUAAGCAUCGGGGAGGAGCUAAACAUCCUACGAUCCGAUGAUUUCUGAAUGGGGAAACCCGAUGGGAGUCAUGUCCCAUCAUCCUGAGCUGAAUAUAUAGGCCCAGAGAAGCCAACCCGGGGAAGUGAAACAUCUCAGUACCCGGAGGAAGAGAAAUCAAACGAGACUCCCAAAGUAGCGGCGAGCGAAAUGGGAAGAGCCCAAACCGGGUGGUUUCGACCAUUCGGGGUUGUAGGGCCGGCAUACGCGAUUCUGGAGUAGGCAGAGGAAGUGAGCUGGAAAGCUCCGCCACAGCGGGUGAUAGCCCCGUACUCGAAACCGAAAAGGACGCAGCCGGUACCUGAGUACUGCGAGGCACGUGGAACCUCGUGGGAAUCUAGGGGGACCAUCCUCUAAGGCUAAGUACUCCUCAGUGACCGAUAGUGAACUAGUACCGUGAGGGAAAGGUGAAAAGAACCCCUGUUAGGGGAGUGAAAUAGAAUCUGAAACCUGUUGCCUACAAGCUGCGAGAGCUGCUUUUUGCAGUGAUCGCGUGCCUUUUGUAUAAUGAGUCAGCGAGUUACUCUACCGUGCGAGGUUAAGCGAAAGCGUAGCCGUAGUGAAAGCGAGGCUUAAUAGGCCGACUAGUACGUUGGAGUAGACCCGAAACCGGGUGAUCUAUCCAUGAGCAGGUUGAAGCAAGGGUAAAGCCUUGUGGAGGACCGAACCGUCAACGGCUGAAAACGUUCCGGAUGACUUGUGGAUAGGGGUGAAAGGUCAAUCAAACCCGGUGAUAGCUGGUUCUCCCCGAAAUAUAUUGAGGUAUAGCCUCGGGAAUUGAUUAGCGGAGGUAAAGCACUGACAGAGCUAGGGGUCCUACCAGAUUACCAAACUCUAUCAAACUCAGAAUGCCGCUUAAUCGUAUCCCGGGAGUCAGACGGCGGGUGCGAAGGUUCGUCGUCAAAAGGGAAACAGCCCAGACCAACAGCUAAGGUCUCCAAAUCCAUGCUCAGUGGUGAAGGUAGUGGAACCGUUUAGACAGCCAGGACGUUGGCUUAGAAGCAGCCAUCGUUUAAAGAAAGCGUAAUAGCUCACUGGUCUAAUGGCUCUGCGCCGAAAAUGUAACGGGGCUAAGCAUGGUACCGAAGCUUUGGCAAUCUCCUUUGGAGAUUGGGUAGGGGAGCGUUCGCUGCGGGCUGAAGGUGUGCCGGAAGGCAUGCUGGACUGCAGUGAAGUGAUUAUGCUGACAUGAGUAACGAUAAAAUAUGUGAAAAACAUAUUCGCCGAAAACCCGAGGUUUCCUGGGUAAAGGUAAUCUUCCCAGGGUUAGUCGGAUCCUAAGGUGAGGGUGAAAGCCGUAACCGAUGGAAAACAGGUUAAUAUUCCUGUACUUGUUGUGUAGCGCGAUGGAGGGACGCAGGAAGAUAGGCGGGCCGGGUGUUGGAUAUCCCGGUGCAAGCGUGUAGGAAUAUCCGGUAGGCAAAUCCGCCGGACGAAUCUGAGACGCGAGUCCGUGGGCGCAAGCCCUGAAGCCGUUGAGUCUAUGCUGCCUAGAAAAGCUCCUAAGUUUAUCCACAGCAAUCCGUACCGCAAACCAACUCAGGUGGGUGGGAUGAACAAUCCAAGGCGCUCGAGAGAACUCUGGCCAAGGAACUCGGCAAAAUAACCCCGUAACUUCGGAAGAAGGGGUGCUCUCUAGGGUGACAUGUUUAACAUAUGAAGCCCCGGGGAGCCGCAGUGAAUUGGUGGUGGCGACUGUUUACUAAAAACAUAGGUCUGUGCGAAGUCCUAAAGACGACGUAUACGGACUGACGCCUGCCCGGUGCUGGAAGGUUAAAAGGAGGGGUCAGCGCAAGCAAAGCUCCGAAUUGAAGCCCCAGUAAACGGCGGCCGUAACUAUAACGGUCCUAAGGUAGCGAAAUUCCUUGUC
Molecule: ribosomal RNA, 1977 nt
Filed under: human gut metagenome
Description: bacterial LSU rRNA
Rfam family: Bacterial large subunit ribosomal RNA
Source: RNAcentral